UUCUUCUUUGCUAAUAACAAAUGAAGAGAAGAGACACAAAUGGGGCAAUGUAUGAUAACCAACUAUAUAUAGAGGGGGUCAAAGCUAAAAAAAAAAGGGGGCAGGUAAAUGUAUAAAGCUUGUAAAAUAUUAUUAAGAAGUUAGUAUAUAUAUAUACUAGCCGUACUACCCGUGACUCCGGCACUACGUACGUACAUAGGGGAGGAGAGAUUGUCGGCGGCUCGGCACUAGAGAACAAAGGAGGCAAAUAGCGAGCUCGAGAGGAGGAACAACGGAGAAGGAUCUGAGAGUGAGAAAGAGCAAUUUUUUAUCCUUUGAAGUUAAAAGGGAUAUAAUGGACGGUGAUAUAUAUAUAUAUAUAUAUAUAUAUAUAUAUAUAUAUUUGUAAUACCAAUGUUAAUUGAUGGUCAAUUAUAUGCUACUAACUCUUG
This 431-nucleotide long non-coding RNA is filed under the name Panax ginseng (ginseng). RNAcentral describes it as "long non-coding RNA (PGIN_LNC005476)". The record is from RNAcentral. Lineage: Eukaryota; Viridiplantae; Streptophyta; Magnoliopsida; Apiales; Araliaceae.